Molecule: long non-coding RNA, 386 nt
Filed under: Ananas comosus (pineapple)
Lineage: Eukaryota; Viridiplantae; Streptophyta; Magnoliopsida; Poales; Bromeliaceae
Description: long non-coding RNA (ACOM_LNC017660)
Source: RNAcentral
AUUGUUCAAAAGAAGAAAAGAGCCGAGAGAGUCGGUUACAAAAAGCAAAAGAAGAAUGAAGGAGACGAAGAAGAGGUUUUAGUGAAGGAGACGAGGAAAAGAAAUAAGAAUUAGAAGAGACAAAAGAAUAGGAAGCUUGAGGAAGAAGAAAAGGCUGUCGUAUUGAACUGUCGCAUUGAUUACGAGUCCCAAGGUCGGCUAUAAUGAUGAAUAGACAACGGCAAUUAAGAUGGUUUAAUUAAUGCCGCACAUGAGACAAAAGUAGAGAAUGCGAUCAGGGCCGUAAAGAAGAGAAUAAACGGCUUAGAUUAAACGGUACAGAAGAUCGUGGUGCAGAAUACGUCAGAGAAUUUGAAUUUGAUUGGACCGAGAAAUACGCCUCGGAU